RNAcentral lists this long non-coding RNA (203 nucleotides) under Elaeis guineensis (African oil palm). RNAcentral describes it as "long non-coding RNA (EGUI_LNC016952)". The record is from RNAcentral. Lineage: Eukaryota; Viridiplantae; Streptophyta; Magnoliopsida; Arecales; Arecaceae.
GGGGAUCCCAUCUUCGUGAAUCUCUUGAAUCUCUUUCUUCCUCUUUCAGUUCCAAGCAAUUUUAUGAAAAAUAUCUAGUGUUCUUGUUCCCUUCUUUUAUCCAUUGGUCUCUUGAACACUGUCUCCAAUAGCAUUCUUCUUGUGCUGAGAUUUCCUCAAAAUAUGAUCUGAGUCUUGUUUUUAGGAGUCUUUCAUCUAUCAUG